GGAAAGGAGCCACGGGUGUUGAAGAAGGCUUGAUUUCAGGCACAGACAGCUCAGGCUUGCUCCUGGCAGGAUGAAGCAGAUCCCAGAUGUGCUUUGGGGGCAUGUGGCUCGAGGUAGCUCCUGCUCUCCCACCAACAAGAGGCCCUGCUGACCCGAUCCUUUGUGACUGCCUGGACACAGUACUAUUACCCGCGCUGGGACUUUGCUUGCUCUCAAUAUACCCUCAGGAGUAUCUGCAGAUCUACAUAAAUAUAUUUAUCCGGUGCUAGGCUGUGCCAUAUCGAGCAUGACUUUCAUCCUCUGGAUCUACAGACAUCAAGAGAGAUAGGAGGAUCCCCUUCCACGUCUGCAGCUUAUGGGGUUUUCAGGGAGGAAGGAAGAAACAAGAAUGAGAAGACUAUUUCUGCAGAACAUCGAGAUAUUUCAUGAAUCACAUGCUCUUACUGUAAGUAAAAUUUUGAUAUCAGCCAUUAAAUUAGCAUGGCAGAAAGUUCUCAAGGUUAUUACAGUCUUUCUCUUCUUAAGUAAGAACUAUACUCUGCAGCAUUUAUAAUCAACCAAAUUAAAAG
This 569-nucleotide long non-coding RNA is filed under the name Gallus gallus (chicken). RNAcentral describes it as "long non-coding RNA NONGGAT008567". The record is from RNAcentral. Lineage: Eukaryota; Metazoa; Chordata; Aves; Galliformes; Phasianidae.